Molecule: ribosomal RNA, 243 nt
Filed under: uncultured bacterium
Lineage: Bacteria
Description: partial 16S ribosomal RNA
Rfam family: Bacterial small subunit ribosomal RNA
Source: RNAcentral
CGGAGGUGGGCGGGACGGGUGAGUAAUGUCGGGGAAACUGCCCGAUGGAGGGGGAUAACUACUGGAAACGGUAGCUAAUACCGCAUAACGUCGCAAGACCAAAGAGGGGGACCUUCGGGCCUCUUGCCAUCGGAUGUGCCCAGAUGGGAUUAGCUAGUAGGUGGGGUAACGGCUCACCUAGGCGACGAUCCCUAGCUGGUCUGAGAGGAUGACCAGCCACACUGGAACUGAGACACGGUCCAG